AUUGAACGCUGGCGGCAGGCUUAACACAUGCAAGUCGAGCGGGGGAAGGUAGCUUGCUACCGGACCUAGCGGCGGACGGGUGAGUAAUGCUUAGGAAUCUGCCUAUUAGUGGGGGACAACAUCUCGAAAGGGAUGCUAAUACCGCAUACGUCCUACGGGAGAAAGCAGGGGAUCUUCGGACCUUGCGCUAAUAGAUGAGCCUAAGUCGGAUUAGCUAGUUGGUGGGGUAAAGGCCUACCAAGGCGACGAUCUGUAGCGGGUCUGAGAGGAUGAUCCGCCAAACGGGGACUGAAGCACGGCCCAGACUCCUACGGGAGGCAUCGGUGGGGAAUAUUGGACAAUGGGGGGAACCCUGAUCCAGCCAUGCCGCGUGUGUGAAGAAGGCCUUAUGGUUGUAAAGCACUUUAAGCGAGGAGGAGGCUACUUUAGUUAAUACCUAGAGAUAGUGGACGUUACUCGCAGAAUAAGCACCGGCUAACUCUGUGCCAGCAGCAGCCGCCG
This 501-nucleotide ribosomal RNA is filed under the name uncultured bacterium. RNAcentral's name for it is "partial 16S ribosomal RNA". It matches the Rfam family "Bacterial small subunit ribosomal RNA", at positions 30 to 523 of the family's 1533-position model. The record is from RNAcentral.